CCAAAAUAGGUCCUAAUAAAUUAUUUUACUCGGACAUAUGUCGAACAGCACCAGGAAGGGAACUGGAGAGCGAGGUGAUCAAUGCCUACAUGAAGCUUUUGGAGAAAAAACUUAAUACAUCCUCUGCUGAGAAAGUCAUGUGUAUUGACUCUUUUGCCAUGACUGAUGUGUGGCAUAAGAAAUUUCCACGCUUCAAGUGGGAUCCCACAGACUUCAAAACUUUAUACGGCAUUGUUAAUGACAACCAUCACUGGUUUGCUGUUAUUAUAUAUCCAAAACAGAGAAAAUCUCUUCUUCUGGACUCGCUUGGGGAAGGUAGUCAGAAGUUGAGGAAAUGCCAAGAUAUAUCAAGAGCUUUUAUGAGGAAUCAGGGAAUGAAUGUGUCAAGAUGGGAAUGCACCACACUUCCACAUCCCCUGCAACCUGACUCAAAUUCCUGUGGAGUGUUUGCCAUAAAGUUUGUUGAAAAAG
This is a long non-coding RNA of Fundulus heteroclitus (mummichog), 471 nucleotides long. RefSeq lists it as uncharacterized. Lineage: Eukaryota; Metazoa; Chordata; Actinopteri; Cyprinodontiformes; Fundulidae. The transcript is spliced from 6 exons. The record is from RefSeq and is a predicted model, not a curated record.